AUGAACGCUGGCGGCGUGCCUAAUACAUGCAAGUCGAGCGAACGGACGAGAAGCUUGCUUUUCUGAUGUUAGCGGCGGACGGGUGAGUAACACGUGGAUAACCUACCUAUAAGACUGGGAUAACUUCGGGAAACCGGAGCUAAUACCGGAUAAUAUUUUGAACCGCAUGGUUCAAAAGUGAAAGACGGUCUUGCUGUCACUUAUAGAUGGAUCCGCGCUGCAUUAGCUAGUUGGUAAGGUAACGGCUUACCAAGGCAACGAUGCAUAGCCGACCUGAGAGGGUGAUCGGCCACACUGGAACUGAGACACGGUCCAGACUCCUACGGGAGGCAGCAGUAGGGAAUCUUCCGCAAUGGGCGAAAGCCUGACGGAGCAACGCCGCGUGAGUGAUGAAGGUCUUCGGAUCGUAAAACUCUGUUAUUAGGGAAGAACAUGUGUGUAAGUAACUGUGCACAUCUUGACGGUACCUAAUCAGAAAGCCACGGCUAACUACGUG
Molecule: ribosomal RNA, 496 nt
Filed under: uncultured bacterium
Lineage: Bacteria
Description: partial 16S ribosomal RNA
Rfam family: Bacterial small subunit ribosomal RNA
Source: RNAcentral